This is a long non-coding RNA of Rhinolophus ferrumequinum (greater horseshoe bat), 340 nucleotides long. RefSeq lists it as uncharacterized. The record is from RefSeq and is a predicted model, not a curated record. NCBI's taxonomy places the organism in Eukaryota, Metazoa, Chordata, Mammalia, Chiroptera, Rhinolophidae. The transcript is spliced from 3 exons.
GUCUGUGCUGAGAAGCCACAGUUUAGACUCAGAGCUGAAGUCUGAACUCCACCUUCAGGCAGAAUGAGGUUCAUCCUGGCAUCUCUGCUUCUCAUACUGCUGGUUAGCAGCCUCUGUCCGGUCCAUGGUAUUCUAGAGAUCAAUAACCACAAACUUAAAGUGCCAAUGCAAGCAAACGAGUUCAUCCUACAUCAGACCCCGCUUGAUUUCAACGAUUCAUAUCAGACCCCGAGGGAAUGGUUGUCCUAAACAAAGAAAUCAUACUCACAUUGAAGAACAAAUCAACUAUAUGCGUGGAUCCUUCAUCUGAUUGGGCAAAACGAGUUAUAAAAUUAGGGAG